RNAcentral lists this transfer RNA (71 nucleotides) under Phrynosoma platyrhinos (Desert horned lizard). RNAcentral's name for it is "tRNA-OTHER". Lineage: Eukaryota; Metazoa; Chordata; Lepidosauria; Squamata; Phrynosomatidae. The record is from RNAcentral.
GCCAGCAUGGUGCAAUGGUUUGAGUGUUGGAUUACAACUCUGGAGACCAGGGUUCGAUUCCCCAAUUGGCC